Molecule: ribosomal RNA, 253 nt
Filed under: uncultured bacterium
Lineage: Bacteria
Description: partial 16S ribosomal RNA
Rfam family: Bacterial small subunit ribosomal RNA
Source: RNAcentral
UACGGAGGGUGCAAGCGUUAUCCGGAUUUACUGGGUUUAAAGGGUGCGCAGGCGGAUAUGUAAGUCAGUGGUGAAAUCUCUAGGCUUAACCUGGAAAUUGCCGUUGAUACUAUAUACCUUGAAUGCUGUGGAGGUAAGCGGAAUAUGUCAUGUAGCGGUGAAAUGCUUAGAUAUGACAUAGAACACCUAUUGCGAAGGCAGCUUACUACGCAGAUAUUGACGCUCAUGCACGAAAGCGUGGGGAUCAAACAGG